Molecule: ribosomal RNA, 1365 nt
Filed under: Triticum aestivum (bread wheat)
Lineage: Eukaryota; Viridiplantae; Streptophyta; Magnoliopsida; Poales; Poaceae
Description: partial small subunit ribosomal RNA
Source: RNAcentral
AUGGAGGAGCAGCAGUCCGCCGGCAUGGCCGAUCUUGCCGCCCGGCUCACCAAGCGACUCGCGGACGCCAACAGCGACCGCAACCUGGUCUUCUCGCCGCUCUCCAUCUACGCCGCCCUGGCGCUCCUGGCCGUCGGCGCCGGUGGGGAGACCCUGGAAGAGAUCCUCCGCGUCCUAGGCGCACGGUCCCGCCGCGAGCUAGAGGACUCCGUGGAGCGUCUCCUGGACGGAUCAUUGGAUCCUGACGGCGGCGGGCCGAGCGUGGCGUUCGCGUGCGGCGUCUGGAGCGACCUGAGGCGGCCGCUGAAGCCAGCCUUCCGUGACGCCGUCGUCGGCAGGUACAAGGCCGAGGCCAGCUCCGUGGACUUCCGCAACGACCCGGAGCAAGCUAGGGCGAAGAUCAACGCGUGGGCCGCUGCUUCCACGAGGAACCUCAUCGACUCCGCCGUCCCUCGGGGAGCCGUACACCGGAACACCCACCUCGUGCUGGCCAACGCCAUCUACUUCAGGGGCAAGUGGGAAAUGCCUUUCUACAAGAGCUCGACCAAGGACAGGCCCUUCCACCGGCACGACGGGUUCAAGGUGCUCAAGCUGCCCUACGAGAGCAGUACAGCGUACACCCAGCGCCACAGCAUGUGCGUCUUCCUCCCGGACGCGCGUGACGGCCUGGCGGGCCUGCUGGACAAGAUCACGACGUCGUCCCCGGCAGGCUUCCUGCGCGAGCACCUGCCGACGCGCAGAGUCAAGGUCGACCAGGUGCUGGUGCCCAGGUUCGAGCUCUCCUUCAGGAGCAGCGUCACCGCCGUCCUUAAGGACCUUGGGCUCCGGCUACCUUUCAGCCAUCGGGCCGACCUCUCCGAGAUGCUGGAUGACGGCUACGAGUUCUGCGUGCAAGACGUCUUCCAGAAGGCUGUCAUCGAGGUCAACGAGGACGGAACCAAAGCCGCCGCUUUGACCUUCUAUGACGUCACUGCCAAAUCCUCUCAAUACCCGCCGGAGGAAGUGCUUUUCGUCGCCGACCACCCGUUCGCCUACUUUAUAAUCGAGGAGGAGUCGCAUGCGAUCCUCUUCGCCGGACAUGUCGUCGACCCUAGCGAUUGUACCGGGGCGGUGAUUCCAUCAGGGGAGCGCAACACAACAAAAGGUAAAAUUGACAAGGUCGAUGCCGAAUCCGGCCGCAAGAGGCCGAGGGAUGAGCAGCCGCAAUCUUCCCACGGCCACAGCUCGAGCAGGCAGCAUCGACGGGAUGAGAGUAGACGAGUUGCCAGCAGCGAGUACAGAGGAGAAGAGAGUAGAUAUUACCGAAGUGAGCGACGGGAGAGGACGGACUACCCGCGGAGAGAACAUAACAGUAGAUAUUAUUGA